RNAcentral lists this long non-coding RNA (204 nucleotides) under Elaeis guineensis (African oil palm). Its description in RNAcentral is "long non-coding RNA (EGUI_LNC064890)". The record is from RNAcentral. Lineage: Eukaryota; Viridiplantae; Streptophyta; Magnoliopsida; Arecales; Arecaceae.
CAAUCACUUAUCUUUAUGCAUUUUGAUCUGAAGAUGAUGAUUCAGUUGAUGAUAUAUUAAAAAUUAUUUUCUAAUUAUCACUCUAUUUUGGCCAAAGACUUCUAGAAUCACCGUCCUAUGAGAUCACAUAGGAUGUUCGCUCUCCUUAUUAGGAGUAACUAGUCUCUUAUUGAUCACUCACAACCUCCAUACAUACUUCACCAU